RNAcentral lists this ribosomal RNA (774 nucleotides) under uncultured Neocallimastigales. Its description in RNAcentral is "partial large subunit ribosomal RNA". It matches the Rfam family "Eukaryotic large subunit ribosomal RNA", at positions 22 to 635 of the family's 3401-position model. Lineage: Eukaryota; Fungi; Neocallimastigomycota; Neocallimastigomycetes; Neocallimastigales. The record is from RNAcentral.
UGUGUAUCAGUACAUGGCAUAUCAAUAAGCGGAGGAAAAGAAACUAACAAGGAUUCCCUUAGUAACGGCGAGUGAAGCGGGAAGAGCUCAAAUUUGAAAUCUUCAAGGUUCUACCUUGACGAAUUGUAGUUUAUAGAAGUGUUUUCUGUUAGUAGAGUGGCAAAAGUUCUUUGGAAUAGGACAUCAUAGAGGGUGAGAAUCCCGUAUUUGGUCAUUCUUUCUAGCUUUGUGAUACACUUUCAACGAGUCGGAUUGUUUGGGAAUGCAGUCCAAAAUGGGUGGUAAAUUUCAUCUAAAGCUAAAUAUUGGCGAGAGACCGAUAGCGAACAAGUACCGUGAGGGAAAGAUGAAAAGAACUUUGAAAAGAGAGUUAAACAGUACGUGAAAUUGUCAGAAGGGAAGCGUUUGACACCAGUGUUGUUUUUCCGAAAAUCAAUUACGAAUGUUUUAUUUUUGAGAAGUUAUGACUUCAUCGGCUUGCUUCUCUCUUUAUGAAACUUUCUUAAUGCACUUUUCGGUUAACAAGUCAACAUCAAUUUCUUUUGUUGUAAAAGGGUAUGAGGAAGGUGGCUUUCUUUUCGGAGAAAGUGUUUAUAGCCUUGUACCUCUGCAAUCGGAGAGAUUGAGGUCUGCAGCGUAGAUCCUUCGGGGUUAGAUACAUUUGUGCUAAGUUAUAGCUUUUCAUAGACAACUUGUUGACUAUGUUUAGUCUUGUAGCUUACUCGCUUAUGCUAUUUUACCUACGCUUAGGAUGUUGACAGCAGUAUAGACUGU